GCCAGGCAUGGUGGUGCAUGCCUGUCACCCCAGCGGCUCAGGAGGCUGAGGCAGGAGGAUUGUGAGUUCAAAGCCAGCCUCAGCAAAAGUGAGGUGCUAAGCAACUCAGUGAGACCCUGUCUCUA
This 125-nucleotide small RNA is filed under the name Marmota monax (woodchuck). Lineage: Eukaryota; Metazoa; Chordata; Mammalia; Rodentia; Sciuridae. The record is from RNAcentral.